UACGGAGGGAGCUAGCGUUGUUCGGAAUUACUGGGCGUAAAGCGCACGUAGGCGGCUAUUCAAGUCGGGGGUGAAAGUCCGGGGCUCAACCCCGGAACUGCCCUCGAAACUAGGUAGCUAGAAUCUUGGAGAGGCGAGUGGAAUUCCGAGUGUAGAGGUGAAAUUCGUAGAUAUUCGGAAGAACACCAGUGGCGAAGGCGACUCGCUGGACAAGUAUUGACGCUGAGGUGCGAAAGCGUGGGGGGCAAACAGG
Molecule: ribosomal RNA, 253 nt
Filed under: uncultured bacterium
Lineage: Bacteria
Description: partial 16S ribosomal RNA
Rfam family: Bacterial small subunit ribosomal RNA
Source: RNAcentral